UUUUUUUUUUUUGUAAGUAAAAGUAAAUUGAUUAUGUGUAAAGUUUCUACAAAUAGCUUUAUCUAUACAAGUCAUAGACAAAGCCAAGUAACUUAUAGAGUGCGAAUGCGAUAGUUAUGACUACACAUGCUGUAGACUAUAACUACCUGUGGGUACAUUAUUUGGCAUCAUUCCCAAGAUCUUUAGCUAAUAGCAAAAUUAAAUUUGAUAAAAAUAUCUUUUUCUCUUCGGGUGAAGUGCUCGG
Molecule: long non-coding RNA, 244 nt
Filed under: Musa acuminata (dwarf banana)
Lineage: Eukaryota; Viridiplantae; Streptophyta; Magnoliopsida; Zingiberales; Musaceae
Description: long non-coding RNA (MACU_LNC007086)
Source: RNAcentral